Molecule: long non-coding RNA, 2110 nt
Filed under: Macaca mulatta (Rhesus monkey)
Lineage: Eukaryota; Metazoa; Chordata; Mammalia; Primates; Cercopithecidae
Description: lncRNA (ENSMMUG00000061176.1)
Source: RNAcentral
ACUCUGGAUACCACCUGCUGUGGAAUGACGGAGUGGCGGAAGCAGACAUCCAGCGAUAGUUAGAUUUCCUGACGUUGACAUCCAAGCAAGAAAGGCGUGUACCUGAGGACCUGCCCGUGGUAGAAGUCUCAGCUUUUCUCAGAGACAGACGGAAUCUUGCUCUUGUCACCUAGGCUGGAGUGCAAUGGCAUGAUCUCAGCUCACUGCAACCUCCACCUCCCAAGUUCAAGCGAUUCUCCUGCCUCAGCCUCCUGAGUCGCUGGGAUUACAGGCGCCCACCACCACGCCCGGCUAAUUUGUGCAUUUUUAGUAGAGACGGGGUUUUGCCAUGUUGGCCAGGCUGGCCUUGAACUCCUGACCUUGUGAUCCACCCAUCUCAGCCUCCCAAAGUGCUGGGAUUACAGGUGUAAGCCACCACACCUGGCCUUGAAACCAACUUUCAAAAUGUGGUCCUUUUGCAGUACAGCUGGGAUGCCUCUGCCUUCCCCACUUCCCCGCCAUGCACCUGUGUAAAGGGGCAGCUUCUGUCUCACAGGUGUAACAGAUUUCUUCCCUUCUCCCCUUUCUCUUCUGUCAAUGAGUCGUGGGUGGCUGUCGGCUGGAGACCGCUCUCAGUGUCUCAUGCACUGAAUGCAACAUGGACACAAACUGAUGAUAGGGCCAGAUGGGGGACAGCAAGAAGUGAGCACCGGAAAUUGCAUGAGCUAGGAGUCACCGCCUGGUAGUGGGUGAGGGACACGUGAUAGGGACAGUUUAGCAGCUGGAUCAGGGUGGAAAAGCGAACCUUGACAGCUGAGCAGUGACACAGACCUGCUUCUGUGGGGACAAGUGUCCACUGGCCCUGGCCAGGCUGGCCUCCAGGGGGCAUUAUUGGAAUAUGCGAUCACCCCAAAACACUUCAGCUUGAAGAAGAUCUAGGACACAGUUUGUUGUUACCACCUCAGAGCAUUUAGAUGGGACAUGAUGGGUGGAAUUGAAGCUAAAAACCCAUCCACCAUUUCUAGUUAGUACAGUAAGCUUCUAAUUUACAGAAAUGCUUGGGAAAUUGAGAAUCAUGAUAAAAUCCUCAUCCCUCCUCCUCUUUUGACCAAAUCUUACUAAAAUGCAUAAUUAUAAUUUCUUAUCUUUUAGUACAUAGUAAUUACGUUAUAUGUGGUAUAUACGCUACGUAAAUAUAGUUCAUGAAAUCAUUCUUUGGUGUUUGAAGACUUUCUAAUUCAUUACUUCAUUCCAGACAUCAGUGACAACAGCACGCACGGAACAGGUGCACGUAUGAGCUACCUACUAAUACGCCCUGGAUUUUGAUUGUAUUUUGUGAAAACCUUGGUAUGGGUUAUUUUUAAAUGAAUGCUUUCCCAAAUUUGAUGCUGAAACUGGGAUGCAUCAAAAUUAGCUUGGUCAUAAUCUUGUCAGUGAUGUCAUCCAGAGGCCACCAGAAACACACCUGUAGCCCAGCAAAGUUGAGGCCAUCGACUGGCUGAUCACAGCAAGGAAGGCUGUGCACCACCGGGAGCCAGCAGCAGCUCAGCAGCAGCAGUGAGAGGGCCUUGGGAAAGACUUGGAGGGUUUGCCUUAUAUGAGGUGAUCUUGGGGAGAGUCAAGGAAACAGGUUGUGAUGGAUACUAUUGAGUGUCAACUUGGUUGGAUUGAAGGAUGCAAAGGAUUGUUCCUGGGUGUGCCUGUAAGAGUGUUGCCAAAGGAGAUUAACAUUUGAGUCAGUGGACUGGCAGAGGCAGACUCACCCUUAAACUGGGUGGGCACCAUCUAAUCAGCCGCCACAGCAGCUAAAAUAAAGCAGGCAGAAGAAGUUGGAAUGAGCAGACUUGCUGAGUCUUCCAGCCUUCAUCUUUCUCCCAUGCUGGAUGCUUCCUGCCCUUGAACAUCAGACUCCAGGUCCUUUUCAGCUUUUGGACUCUUGGAUUUACACCAGUGGUUUGCCAGGGGCUCCCAGGCCUUUAGCCACAGACUGAAGGCUGCACUGUCAGCCUCUCUACCUUUGAAGUUUGGGACUCAGACUGGCUUCUUGGCUCCUCAGCUUGCAGUCGGCCUAUUGUGAGACUUCCCCUUGUGAUCAUGUGAGCCAGCUCUCCUAAUAAACUCCCCUUCAUAU